This 496-nucleotide ribosomal RNA is filed under the name uncultured bacterium. Its description in RNAcentral is "partial 16S ribosomal RNA". It matches the Rfam family "Bacterial small subunit ribosomal RNA", at positions 28 to 506 of the family's 1533-position model. The record is from RNAcentral.
GAUGAACGCUGGCGGCGUGCCUAAUACAUGCAAGUCGAGCGAACAGACGAGGAGCUUGCUCCUCUGACGUUAGCGGCGGACGGGUGAGUAACACGUGGAUAACCUACCUAUAAGACUGGGAUAACUUCGGGAAACCGGAGCUAAUACCGGAUAAUAUAUUGAACCGCAUGGUUCAAUAGUGAAAGACGGUUUUGCUGUCACUUAUAGAUGGAUCCGCGCCGCAUUAGCUAGUUGGUAAGGUAACGGCUUACCAAGGCGACGAUGCGUAGCCGACCUGAGAGAGUGAUCGGCCACACAGGAGCACGGACACGGUCCAGACCCCUACGGGAGGCAGCAGUAGGGAAUCUUCCGCAAGGGGCGAAAGCCUGACGGAGCAACGCCGCGGGAGUGAUGAAGGCCUUCGGAUCGUAAAACUCUGUUAUUAGGGAAGAACAAAUGUGUAAGUAACUAUGCACGUCUUGACGGUACCUAAGCAGAAAGCCACGGCUAACUACGU